This 406-nucleotide ribosomal RNA is filed under the name uncultured bacterium. RNAcentral describes it as "partial 16S ribosomal RNA". It matches the Rfam family "Bacterial small subunit ribosomal RNA", at positions 28 to 526 of the family's 1533-position model. The record is from RNAcentral.
GACGAACGCUGGCGGCGUGCCUAAUACCUGCCAGUAGAACGAGUUGCGAACGGGUGAGUAAUGUCUGGGAAACUGCCCGAUGGAGGGGGAUAACUACUGGAAACGGUAGCUAAUACCGCAUACCAUCGGAUGUGCCCAGAUGGGAUUAGCUAGUAGGUGGGGUAACGGCUCACCUAGGCGACGUUCCCUAGCUGGUCUGAGAGGAUGCCCAGAAACACUGGAACUGAGACACGGUCCAGACUCCUACGGUAGGCAGCAGGGGUGAAUAUUGCACAAUGGGCGCAAGCCUGAUGCAGCCAUGCCGCGUGUAUGAUGAAGGCCUUCGGGUUGUAAAGUACUUUCAGCGAGGAGGCGUUACUCGCAGAAGAAGCACCGGCUAACUCCGUGCCAGCAGCCGCGGUAAUUC